Molecule: Y RNA, 101 nt
Filed under: Prolemur simus (greater bamboo lemur)
Lineage: Eukaryota; Metazoa; Chordata; Mammalia; Primates; Lemuridae
Description: Y RNA (ENSPSMG00000023619.1)
Rfam family: Y RNA
About the family: Y RNAs are components of the Ro ribonucleoprotein particle (Ro RNP), in association with Ro60 and La proteins.
Source: Rfam by way of RNAcentral
UGCUGGUCUGAGUGCAGUGGUGUUUACAGCUAAUUGAUCACAACCAGUUCCAGAUUCCUUUGUUCUUCUCCACUCCCACUGCUUCACUUGACUAGCCUUAA